RNAcentral lists this ribosomal RNA (433 nucleotides) under uncultured bacterium. RNAcentral's name for it is "partial 16S ribosomal RNA". It matches the Rfam family "Bacterial small subunit ribosomal RNA", at positions 29 to 507 of the family's 1533-position model. The record is from RNAcentral.
AACGAACGCUGGCGGCAUGCCUAACACAUGCAAGUCGAACGAGACCUUCGGGUCUAGUGGCGCACGGGUGCGUAACGCGUGGGAACCUGCCCUUAGGUUCGGAUUAACUCCCCGAAAGGGGUGCUAAUACCGGAUAAUGUCUUCGGACCAAAGAUUUAUCGCCUUUGGAUGGGCCUGCGUUGGAUUAGCUAGUUGGUAGGGUAAAAGCCUACCAAGGCGACGAUCCAUAGCUGGUCUGAGAGGAUGAGCAGCCACACUGGGACUGAGACACGGCCCAGACUCCUACGGGAGGCAGCAGUGGGGAAUAUUGGACAAUGGGCGAAAGCCUGAUCCAGCAAUGCCGCGUGAGUGAUGAAGGCCGUAGGGUUGUAAAGCUCUUUUACCCGGGAUGAUAAUGACAGUACCGGGAGAAUAAGCUCCGGCUAACUCCGUG